Molecule: ribosomal RNA, 253 nt
Filed under: uncultured bacterium
Lineage: Bacteria
Description: partial 16S ribosomal RNA
Rfam family: Bacterial small subunit ribosomal RNA
Source: RNAcentral
UGCAGAGGUCCCAAGCGUUGUUCGGAUUCAUUGGGCGUAAAGGGUGCGUAGGUGGCGUCGUAAGUCGGGUGUGAAAUCUCGGGGCUUAACUCCGAAACUGCAUUCGAUACUGCGGUGCUUGAGGACUGGAGAGGAGACUGGAAUUUACGGUGUAGCAGUGAAAUGCGUAGAGAUCGUAAGGAAGACCAGUGGCGAAGGCGGGUCUCUGGACAGUUCCUGACGCUGAGGCACGAAGGUCAGGGGAGCAAACGGG